RNAcentral lists this long non-coding RNA (214 nucleotides) under Musa acuminata (dwarf banana). RNAcentral describes it as "long non-coding RNA (MACU_LNC007659)". Lineage: Eukaryota; Viridiplantae; Streptophyta; Magnoliopsida; Zingiberales; Musaceae. The record is from RNAcentral.
UCCAGUAUUAGCGAUGAUAGAUGGAUUGAAUCCACUGACAAAAGUAAAGGGAAAAAUCCAAUCUCAAGUCCGCUGUUAGAGCGGAUCCAACCCAAUAGCAAUAGUACAUUCAAUGUCAGGAGCUGCAAGUGCAAUUGCUUUUUCUGGCUUACGUUGAGGAUUCCUAUGCUCUCAUUUAAGUCUGACCCAUCAACAAAUCAUUCCUUAUUCCCAG